This 832-nucleotide ribosomal RNA is filed under the name uncultured bacterium. RNAcentral describes it as "bacterial SSU rRNA". It matches the Rfam family "Bacterial small subunit ribosomal RNA", at positions 53 to 879 of the family's 1533-position model. The record is from RNAcentral.
CCAUGCAGUCGAGGGGUAACAGAGAAGCUUGCUUCUGCUGACGACCGGCGCACGGGUGCGUAACGCGUAUGCAACCUACCUCAUACUGGAGCAUAGCCCUUGGAAACGAGGAUUAAUACUCCAUAGUAUCAUUUUUUCGCAUGUUAGAAUGAUUAAAGAAUUUCGGUAUGAGAUGGGCAUGCGUCCCAUUAGCUAGUUGGUGAGGUAACGGCUCACCAAGGCGACGAUGGGUAGGGGGCCUGAGAGGGUGGUCCCCCACACUGGUACUGAGACACGGACCAGACUCCUACGGGAGGCAGCAGUGAGGAAUAUUGGUCAAUGGAGGCAACUCUGAACCAGCCAUGCCGCGUGAAGGAUGACGGCCCUAUGGGUUGUAAACUUCUUUUAUAUGGGAAGAAACUUAUCUACGUGUAGAUAACUGACGGUACCAUACGAAUAAGGAUCGGCUAACUCCGUGCCAGCAGCCGCGGUAAUACGGAGGAUCCAAGCGUUAUCCGGAAUCAUUGGGUUUAAAGGGUCCGUAGGUGGUUAAUUAAGUCAGAGGUGAAAGCCAGCAGCUCAACUGUUGAACUGCCUUUGAUACUGAUUAACUUGAGUUAUUGUGAAGUAGUUAGAAUAUGUAGUGUAGCGGUGAAAUGCAUAGAUAUUACAUAGAAUACCGAUUGCGAAGGCAGAUUACUAACAAUACACUGACACUGAGGGACGAAAGCGUGGGUAGCGAACAGGAUUAGAUACCCUGGUAGUCCACGCCGUAAACGAUGGUCACUAGCUGUUUGACCAACAUUGGUUGGUUGAGUGGCUAAGCGAAAGUGAUAAGUGACCCACCUGGGGA